This 1414-nucleotide ribosomal RNA is filed under the name metagenome. RNAcentral's name for it is "bacterial SSU rRNA". It matches the Rfam family "Bacterial small subunit ribosomal RNA". The record is from RNAcentral.
AGAGUUUGAUCCUGGCUCAGAAUGAACGCUGGCGGCGUGCUUAACACAUGCAAGUCGCACGAGAACGCUUCAGCUUGCUGGAGCUAGUAAAGUGGCGCACGGGUGAGUAACGCGUGGGUAAUCUACCUCCGAAUUGGGGAUAACACUGCGAAAGCGGUGCUAAUACCGAAUGACAACCCAGAGACCUUGGUUUCGGGGAUCAAAGGUGGCCUCUACAUGUAAGCUACUGUUUGGAGAUGAGCCCGCGUACCAUUAGCUAGUUGGUAGGGUAAUGGCCUACCAAGGCUGCGAUGGUUAGCUGGUCUGAGAGGAUGAUCAGCCACACUGGAACUGACACACGGUCCAGACUCCUACGGGAUGCAGCAGUGAGGAAUUUUGCGCAAUGGGGGAAACCCUGACGCAGCAACGCCGCGUGAGUGAUGAAGGCUUUCGGGUCGUAAAGCUCUGUCAAGUGGGAAGAAUAUGCCCUGUGAUAAUACCAUGGGGCACUGACAGUACCUGAAGAAUAAGCACCGGCUAACUACGUGCCAGCAGCCGCAGUAAUACGUAGGGUGCAAGCGUUAAUCGGAAUUACUGGGCGUAAAGCGUGCGCAGGCGGUUAUGCAAGACAGAUGUGAAAUCCCCGGGCUUAACCUGGGAACUGCAUUUGUGACUGCAUAGCUAGAGUGCGGCAGAGGGGGAUGGAAUUCCGCGUGUAGCAGUGAAAUGCGUAGAUAUGCGGAGGAACACCGAUGGCGAAGGCAAUCCCCUGGGCCUGCACUGACGCUCAUGCACGAAAGCGUGGGGAACAAACAGGAUUAGAUACCCUGGUAGUCCACGCCCUAAACGAUGUCAACUGGUUGUUGGAAGGGUUCCCUUUCAGUAACGAAGCUAACGCGUGAAGUUGACCGCCUGGGGAGUACGGCCGCAAGGUUGAAACUCAAAGGAAUUGACGGGGACCCGCACAAGCGGUGGAUGAUGUGGUUUAAUUCGAUGCAACGCGAAAAACCUUACCUACCCUUGACAUGUCUGGAAUUUCGCAGAGAUGUGAAAGUGCUCGAAAGAGAACCAGAACACAGGUGCUGCAUGGCCGUCGUCAGCUCGUGUCGUGAGAUGUUGGGUUAAGUCCCGCAACGAGCGCAACCCUUGUCAUUAGUUGCUACGAAAGGGCACUCUAAUGAGACUGCCGGUGACAAACCGGAGGAAGGUGGGGAUGACGUCAGGUCCUCAUGGCCCUUAUGGGUAGGGCUACACACGUCAUACAAUGGCCGGUACAGAGGGCUGCCAACCCGCGAGGGGGAGCUAAUCCCAGAAAACCGGUCGUAGUCCGGAUCGCAGUCUGCAACUCGACUGCGUGAAGUCGGAAUCGCUAGUAAUCGCGGAUCAGCUUGCCGCGGUGAAUACGUUCCCGGGUCUUGUACACACCGCCCGUCAC